This 65-nucleotide transfer RNA is filed under the name Kulikovia alborostrata. Its description in RNAcentral is "tRNA-Ala". The record is from RNAcentral. Lineage: Eukaryota; Metazoa; Nemertea; Pilidiophora; Heteronemertea; Lineidae.
GGUGCUAUACUUUAAAAAAAAGGUUUGUGUUGCAUGUAAAUAAUAAGAAAAAUUCUUUAGCGCCG